This 73-nucleotide transfer RNA is filed under the name candidate division WS6 bacterium OLB20. Its description in RNAcentral is "tRNA-Thr". It matches the Rfam family "tRNA". Rfam says of the family: Transfer RNA (tRNA) molecules are approximately 80 nucleotides in length. The record is from RNAcentral.
GCUGGAGUAGCUCAGCUGGUAGAGCAGCGGUAUCGUAAACCGUCGGUCAAGGGUUCAAUUCCCUUCUCCAGCU